RNAcentral lists this non-coding RNA (23 nucleotides) under Arabidopsis thaliana (thale cress). Lineage: Eukaryota; Viridiplantae; Streptophyta; Magnoliopsida; Brassicales; Brassicaceae. The record is from RNAcentral.
UUAUCAAGUGGUGCCGAUAAGUG